UACAGAGGGUGCGAGCGUUGUUCGGAUUCAUUGGGCGUAAAGGGUGCGUAGGCGGCGCGGUAAGUCGGGUGUGAAAUCUCGGAGCUUAACUCCGAAACUGCAUUCGAUACUGCCGUGCUUGAGGACUGGAGAGGAGACUGGAAUUUACGGUGUAGCGGUGAAAUGCGUAGAUAUCGUAAGGAAGACCAGUGGCGAAGGCGGGUCUCUGGACAGUUCCUGACGCUGAGGCACGAAGGUCAGGGGAGCAAACGGG
RNAcentral lists this ribosomal RNA (253 nucleotides) under uncultured bacterium. RNAcentral's name for it is "partial 16S ribosomal RNA". It matches the Rfam family "Bacterial small subunit ribosomal RNA", at positions 524 to 776 of the family's 1533-position model. The record is from RNAcentral.